GCCGGGAUAGCUCAGCUGGGAGAGCAACAGACUGAAGAUCAUGCAUUCUGGAGGUCGCGUGUUCAAUCCACGCUCCUGGCA
Trametes elegans is the source of this 81-nucleotide non-coding RNA. NCBI's taxonomy places the organism in Eukaryota, Fungi, Basidiomycota, Agaricomycetes, Polyporales, Polyporaceae. The record is from the annotation of a GenBank genome assembly.